This 78-nucleotide transfer RNA is filed under the name Nitrososphaera sp. Its description in RNAcentral is "tRNA-Gly". It matches the Rfam family "tRNA". From Rfam's summary of the family: Transfer RNA (tRNA) molecules are approximately 80 nucleotides in length. Their secondary structure includes four short double-helical elements and three loops (D, anti-codon, and T loops). RNAcentral also lists the same sequence under 1 other name. The record is from RNAcentral. Lineage: Archaea; Thermoproteati; Nitrososphaerota; Nitrososphaeria; Nitrososphaerales; Nitrososphaeraceae.
GCGGUCAUCGUCUAGUUUGGUCUAGGACACUGGCCUUCCAAGCCCGUAACCCGGGUUCAAAUCCCGGUGACCGCACCA